Non-coding RNA from Gasterosteus aculeatus aculeatus (three-spined stickleback), 1970 nucleotides. The record is from RefSeq and is a predicted model, not a curated record. NCBI's taxonomy places the organism in Eukaryota, Metazoa, Chordata, Actinopteri, Perciformes, Gasterosteidae.
UUAAUAUGACCACAAUAAUGUAGUUUUAGUCGGUAUUUACAACUUUCAAAACAAGCAACGAGUGAUUUUGCUGUCUGAAAAGUGCCACAAAGGUUUUUUUUCUUUUUCUCAGGUUUUUCCCUGCAGGGAUUCCAGAGCCGUGUCUAAGCGCAUAUUCCCUCACUGCAAGAGGAAAUAGAUAUUGUUCUAGUACCUGGGAGCGUAAGCGCGCACACACCUGGAAUACAACAAAACUCUGAAGCUUUCCGUUGAAGUGAAAUCUGCUUUCGUUCUACCAGCGUUUCCUCCCUUCACGAUGGCCACCCCUCUCCCUCCUCCCCAGCACGGAGGCAUCGACCACAACCUGCCCACCUGUGGAGACACGCAGUGCAGCAGCCACGGUACCUGCGUGCCUUCUAUGGAUGGCGGUCUGGUGUGCGACUGCAACCUGGGCUACCAGGGUGAAACCUGCGACGACACGGUCAACGGGUCCCUGAGUUUACCGCUGACCCUCAGUGUGCUGGCUGUCAUCAUCGGGAUACUGAUCGUGGCUGUCAUCUUGGCUAAGCUCAGGCGGAAGCAAAAAAAGAGGAACAGGAAACAUCUGGAAGAAAAACAUGGCUACGACAUUGUUGCGUGAUGAUACAUCUCCAACAACCCUGAGGUAGACACAAGGCUAAAAUGCUUCACAUUUUGUACGUUACUACCUGGGAACUGAAUUUGAGUGUUGAUAGCAACAUUUGAUUAAAUUAGAUUAAUAUUUUAAUCAUUUAAUCAUCAAAGGAAAACAUUUCACCAAAAUCCAUUCCAAAGUUUGGAAAAAUAACUAAUGUAUAUAACUUUUAUAUUAAGAGUUUUUUUGUAGAGUUUUCUUAACCAACAAAAUGAUAUUUCGCUGUUAUUCAGUAAAAACCAGGGCUGUGCAGAAUGUUUUUUUUUUUACGUCCAUGUUGCUAGCUGUCUUCCUCCCAGCUUGCUGCGUUUCCACUCGUUUUACUGUCACCAAAUGUCGAGGGAAUCGCUCCUCCCCAUAAAAAAAAAACAACCAGAGGGGAGAUGAAGGCUACGAAGAAGAAAUCUAUGAUGUGGGUUUCAACGACGUGGCAAAACCUCCCCCUGAAAGGGUACCUUGGACAUAUUGAUUGUGCGUGUAUGUCAUUAACCGAGUUAAGAGUGACACAAUUUAACUGCAGUAAUCAUGUCUUUCAUACGUGGUCUCACAAUGGGAAAAAAUAUAACUGUUUACUUCUUAGUGUUAAUUAUUAAGCGUUAUUGUGGCCAUCUAUUGAUAACAAACCAGAAUGAAACAUUUGCCCCUCUGCAAGAAAUGAUCUGACUGCUCCAAAUGGAAAUCUAGGGGGCUUCUACAGCGAUGGCGGCAUGUUUUUGUGCUUCACAUUCAUUUCAGUGUCGCAAACAAAGUGUCGAGAGCUCCAGUUUUUUUUUUUUUUCAAUAAUAUUUAUCUAGCAGGGGUAAGCCACAUAUUUAACCAGAUUGUAUUUGUCGUUACCUUUAAGGACUCUUUGCUUGCUUUGCUUUGCUGAGUAAUCAAGAUACUUACAGGACCAUAGCCAGUGUUAGGAGUUUUUUUAUGCUAUACUGUCUGAUAUUUGUGUACACUUCUGACUGAAUUACAAUGUUUUAUGUGCCUUUUCACUCUGCUUCUGUGUUGCUAGAGUAGAAAAAAAUGUAGACCAGUGGGUCCAAUAACUGACUUUCAUGAGAUGUUUUUAAAAACUAGAUUAAAUCGAAUCAUGUUCAAGCUUGGUGAUUUAUGAGAAUGAAUUUGAAAUAUACUUCAUGUCUGCAUGUUCAUAUUUGUAUGUAAAUGGAUUGUAAGUUACCAGUUUGUUUGUCAAAGCACUCGCAUGCCAGAGAAGAAUGACAAAGGAACAAAAAGGCCUAUAUUUCUGAUAACGUCUCAUUGUAUUUUAAAGAAUGACAAAAGUCAUUUUGCUCAACUAGCCUUCAGUAAACUACCAAAACUAUG